CGGGUGAGGAAUACAUCGGAAUUUGCCCAGUCGUGGGGGAUAACGUAGGGAAACUUACGCUAAUACCGCAUACGACCGAGAGGUGAAAGCGGGGGAUCUGUAAGGACCUCGCGCGAGUGGAUGAGCCGAUGUCGGAUUAGCUAGUUGGCGGGGUAAAGGCCCACCAAGGCGACGAUCCGUAGCUGGUCUGAGAGGAUGAUCAGCCACACUGGGACUGAGACACGGCCCAG
RNAcentral lists this ribosomal RNA (230 nucleotides) under uncultured bacterium. RNAcentral's name for it is "partial 16S ribosomal RNA". It matches the Rfam family "Bacterial small subunit ribosomal RNA", at positions 103 to 334 of the family's 1533-position model. The record is from RNAcentral.